This 437-nucleotide ribosomal RNA is filed under the name uncultured Desulfobulbus sp. RNAcentral describes it as "bacterial SSU rRNA". It matches the Rfam family "Bacterial small subunit ribosomal RNA", at positions 948 to 1382 of the family's 1533-position model. Lineage: Bacteria; Pseudomonadati; Thermodesulfobacteriota; Desulfobulbia; Desulfobulbales; Desulfobulbaceae. The record is from RNAcentral.
AAUUCGAUGCAACGCGAAGAACUACCUGGUCUUGACAUCCCGGAGACCCUUAGGAAACUAGGGGUGCUUCCAUCUGGAAGAAUCUGGAGACAGGUGCUGCAUGGCUGUCGUCAGCUCGUGUCGUGAGAUGUUGGGUUAAGUCCCGCAACGAGCGCAACCCUUGCCUUUAGUUGCCAGCAGUUCGGCUGGGCACUCUAAAGGGACUGCCGGUGUUAAACCGGAGGAAGGUGGGGAUGACGUCAAGUCCUCAUGGCCUUUAUGACCAGGGCUACACACGUACUACAAUGGCCGAUACAAAGGGCAGCGACACUGCGAGGUGAAGCCAAUCCCGUAAAAUCGGUCUCAGUCCGGAUUGGAGUCUGCAACUCGACUCCAUGAAGUUGGAAUCGCUAGUAAUCGUGGAUCAGCAUGCCACGGUGAAUACGUUCCCGGGCCUU